CCUACGGGUGGCAGCAGUGAGGAAUAUUGGUCAAUGGACGCGAGCCUGAACCAGCCAAGUCGCGUGAGGGAAGACUGCCCUAUGGGUUGUAAACCUCUUUUAUUCGGGAAUAAUACGCCUUACGAGUAGCGUUAUGCCUGUACUGAAUGAAUAAGCAUCGGCUAACUCCGUGCCAGCAGCCGCGGUAAUACGGAGGAUGCGAGCGUUAUCCGGCUUUAUUGGGUUUAAAGGAGGCGUAGGCGGCCUGUUAAGUUAGUGGUAAAAUGUGGGGGCUAAACCCCGGAUUGCCAUUGAUACUGGCAGGCUGGAGUACAGACGAGGUAGGCGGAAUAAGUCGAGUAGCGGUGAAAUGCUUAGAUAUGACGAAGAACUCCGAUAGCGAAGGCAGCUUACCAGGCUGAGACUGACGCUGAAGCACGAGAGCGUGGGUAGCGAACAGGAUUAGAUACCCCUGUAGUC
This 459-nucleotide ribosomal RNA is filed under the name uncultured bacterium. Its description in RNAcentral is "partial 16S ribosomal RNA". It matches the Rfam family "Bacterial small subunit ribosomal RNA", at positions 338 to 795 of the family's 1533-position model. The record is from RNAcentral.